UAGACGAGAGAAAUAUCUGUACGGAUGGAAAAAUAAGAUUACGGCAGAUGCUUGUCGUAACAAAACAAUGGCUAAACUGCAGAUUUUAAACGUUUUUUUAACGGAAAGAUUAACUUUAGCGGCCCAGGAAAUAUUUAAGGUUGUGGAAGACAUCUUUUCGGAGUACAAUGACGAGAUAUGUCGUUCCAGACAGGAGAUUGAGCUGCUUAGGAAGAGACUGCAGCAGGCUGGGCUUCUGCUCGACUCUGAAAUACACUCAUGCUCCUUUGAGUCACAAGAAACUCAGACAUUAUCAGAGGAGCAGUGGAGGUCUGAACAAGAUGGAAAAGAUACAGAAGUGCAGAUGAAACUAGAGGUCUACACACAGCAGGAGGAGAAUAGAGUCCAUAUGUCUGUUUAUAAUGAAUCAUCAUCUUUACGGCAAAGUAUGGACACUGGCCAUAAUCAGAUGACCAACAUAGACAUUGAAAGUCAAAUAACGGACAGCAGUGAGAAUGAUUUUCCCUUCACGAACCAAGAUGCUGAGAUUAAAAAUGAACCUGGGCUUAGUGAAAAAGGCAGGGACUGUCAGGUACAACAAUUCACUAGACACUGCUUGGAUGAUCUGGGGGCGAGUGACGCAUCAAGUGUUAACAAAACAGAAGUCAUCAACAUCGACUCUCCUGCAUAUAAGACACACGCAUUUCAUCUGCCCCCUAGAACCCAGGAGAGGUUGACACAGCAGCAUAGAAUGGAACUGGCCCAAAUUAGAGAGAGAAUGUCUUCAAGUAUGUGGCUCCAUUACUCUGAGCAUAAAAGUAUGAAAAGUCAUCCAUCUGACUGUGAGGGUGAAGUGUCCAAUUCUGACAAGCGGAAAGAGCACAAUGCAAGAAAAGCACAGGCCUGGAGGGAUCGACUGAAAAAAGACCCUGCAAAAUUUGCUGAGUACAAAGCUUUGGAAGCUGCAAGAGCAAGAGCGUAUAGAAGAAAAAAGACGGCUGCUGCUAGAGAAACUGAUCGGGAAAAUAAUCGUGAGCGACAGAGAAGACUAAGAGCUAUAAAGAAGUUACAACAGUGUAAAGCUGAGGAAGAGCUUUCGCCACCUAUGAUAAGAAAAGUCUCACAAGAAGAAAAAUACUACAUCCUUGGAGAAGAGACACUUUAUUGUCACUAGUUUGAUGGUUGCAAAGAAGUACAGAAUGCAACAUUCUAUUGUAAUCCUAAGGUAGCAUGAGAACUUACUUACAUGAGGACUGUAAAAAACAAAUCCUCAUGGAGAUCUCUACAGAAGGCUUGUGAACUUUGGAAGCUGUAAAAAUCCAGAAAACAAAGUUUUGUGCUUUCCAGUUUUUUUACACACGUGUUGUCUCUCAAUGUGUUACAAACCUAAACCAAUGUCUCUGUGAAUAUUGUACUGGAGUUUAGUGAAGCUUCAGAGCCUGCACAGAAUUCUCAAUGCUACCAACAGUGACAAGUGUAUAUAAGACUGAAGAUCAAAGACAAUCACAAAGUGAGGAACUGUGAUUACACAAAGUGUAUUAAAAGAACUUGUUUUGAUUGUGGUGUUGUGCUACUCAAGGAAAAGUUAAAGGUGUAGUGGAUGCCAGUGUCCUGGCAAAAGUGGGAGAGUAAGAUUUUUAGCCACGAUGGAAGCCAGUGUUCCAACUCAAACUGCCUCUGCCUGCCAAUGUCAUACUUUGAACACAGAGGUGAUAAGUGAUUAAAUAAGUGAUUUUAACCAGGCUGCGAUUGAAGGACAGAAUGCCUUGACUGAUAAUUCUGAUACAAGCAAAGAUGACCAACGUCCUUGUGAACAAGUAGAAGAUCUGUGGAUGAAACAUAAUACACAUAUAACACAGAUGUACAAGAUCUGACUUCCUGUACACCCGUCCACCUAGGUGGUACUUGGGCAGAGUUCUUAAAUCACCAACUGACAGAGGAGUCUGGAUGAAGUUUCAGGAGCAGUGCAAAGUCUGGAGUUUGUUUCCCUGGCCCAAGACUCCUGAUCUUAAACUAGUCGAUCCGCUGGGAAUAUUUAACGGACCUGUAAACUUGAGGAGUUUAAAAAUUCAAGAUAAUGAAUGUUUAGUUGAUGUUAAGCAUAAUUCGAUGCUUAAUUCGAAUGCACAUGAAGAACUGACUUGCCAUAAGUGACAUUUCACAACAAGUUUAUACUAUCCCAGUAGUUACUUGUGUUUUUGAUAGGUUUGUUUAAUAGUUUCGUAAUUGUUCUAUGUCGUAUUUUAAUUCUUGUGACGUGUAUUAUGACGUGACAGGCUAUUCAGCUGUGAAUAGUUUGUACUCUUCACUUGAGCAGCUUUAUAUGUUACUAAUGCUAAAGCAUGUUUUGACCCCUGCUAGUCAGUUAUAUUUUCAGUAAAAUUAGCUGAAAUAUACAUUUGUAUUACAUGUAAUAAAAUACGUCAGCAAUUUAACAUGCGUACGUAUACUCUCCAUUGCUGUUUGUUUUUGUUUUGGCCGAUAGUAAUGAAUGUCUUUUUAAUGAUUAUAAGGUUAUUGCAUUAUAAAAAAAGUAUACGUUUGGCUUUUGCACACAGACUUUUGUAGUUUGUUCACUCAAUUGUAAAAAAUAAGAACAAGUAUAUUCAGAUUUUACUGUCAUAAAGUAACAUACAUAAGCAUAAAGAUAUUUUUUUAAAUAAAAUUUAGUUUGAUUACUGUCUUGGUUCUAAUAUAAGAUGAUUUUAUAUCAAAUAUUUUGAUGAUUUCAUAUAAAAUUUGUUACAUUUAAUUACCCCUUUGCAGAUUUUGAUUCAUAUUUGCCUUUCAUGGUCUAUGGAGAGACCUAAGAAAAUGAGGUACAGUGUUACUGUACAUCAUAAGCGCUUAUCAUUUUAAUUGAUUCAAAUUCAAUGAGGCGUUUUGUCUAUCUGACAGCAGUUGUUCUGCUCUGUUUUUUAACAAACGAAAGCUAAUAACAAAAUAGUGAGUGUGACACACUACCUUCGUUUGUAA
This is an RNA transcript of Triplophysa rosa, 2955 nucleotides long. RefSeq lists it as uncharacterized. The record is from RefSeq and is a predicted model, not a curated record. Lineage: Eukaryota; Metazoa; Chordata; Actinopteri; Cypriniformes; Nemacheilidae. The transcript has 5 exons.